UACGUAGGCAGCAAGCGUUGUUCGGAGUUACUGGGCGUCAAGAGUGCGUAGGCGGUCUUUUAAGUUUGGUGUGAAAUCUCCCGGCUCAACUGGGAGGGUGCGCCGAAAACUGGGAGGCUUGAGGAUGGGAGAGGCAUGCGGAAUUCCUGGUGUAGCGGUGAAAUGCGUAGAUAUCAGGAGGAACACCUGCGGUGUAGACAGCAUGCUGGACCAUUUCUGACGCUGAGGCACGAAAGCGUGGGUAGCAAACAGG
RNAcentral lists this ribosomal RNA (253 nucleotides) under uncultured bacterium. Its description in RNAcentral is "partial 16S ribosomal RNA". It matches the Rfam family "Bacterial small subunit ribosomal RNA", at positions 524 to 776 of the family's 1533-position model. The record is from RNAcentral.